This 253-nucleotide ribosomal RNA is filed under the name uncultured bacterium. RNAcentral describes it as "partial 16S ribosomal RNA". It matches the Rfam family "Bacterial small subunit ribosomal RNA", at positions 524 to 776 of the family's 1533-position model. The record is from RNAcentral.
UACGUAGGUGGCAAGCGUUGUCCGGAUUUACUGGGCGUAAAGAGCGCGCAGGCGGUCGGAUAAGUCGAAUGUGAAAGCCCCCGGCUCAACUGGGGAGGGUCAUUCGAUACUGUUCGACUCGAAGGCAGGAGAGGGAAGUGGAAUUCCCGGUGUAGUGGUGAAAUGCGUAGAUAUCUGGAGGAACACCGGUGGCGAAGGCGACAUCCUGGACCGGUAUUGACGCUGAGGAGCGAAAGCCAGGGGAGCAAACGGG